This 454-nucleotide ribosomal RNA is filed under the name uncultured Staphylococcus sp. RNAcentral describes it as "bacterial SSU rRNA". It matches the Rfam family "Bacterial small subunit ribosomal RNA", at positions 21 to 464 of the family's 1533-position model. Lineage: Bacteria; Bacillati; Bacillota; Bacilli; Caryophanales; Staphylococcaceae. The record is from RNAcentral.
GGCUCAGGAUGAACGCUGGCGGCGUGCCUAAUACAUGCAAGUCGAGCGAACUGACGAGGAGCUUGCUCCUUUGACGUUAGCGGCGGACGGGUGAGUAACACGUGGGUAACCUACCUAUAAGACUGGAAUAACUCCGGGAAACCGGGGCUAAUGCCGGAUAACAUAUCGAACCGCAUGGUUCGAUAGUGAAAGACGGUCUUGCUGUCACUUAUAGAUGGACCCGCGCCGUAUUAGCUAGUUGGUGAGGUAACGGCUCACCAAGGCAACGAUACGUAGCCGACCUGAGAGGGUGAUCGGCCACACUGGAACUGAGACACGGUCCAGACUCCUACGGGAGGCAGCAGUAGGGAAUCUUCCGCAAUGGGCGAAAGCCUGACGGAGCAACGCCGCGUGAGUGAUGAAGGUCUUCGGAUCGUAAAGCUCUGUUGUUAGGGAAGAACAAAUGUGUAAGUAA